CUCUUUUGGUCUAAGGGAGCUACCAUUUGAUUUUUAUGGGGGGGCUAGGAUGAAAUUUGAAAAAAAUAGGCAGGACAGGAGUUUUGAGUAAAAAAAAAAGGCAGGAUGAGACACUUGCAAAAAAAAAAAAUCAGGAUGACAAUUUAUGUCAAAAAAGUCAGGAUAAACUAAAAAAAAAAAAAAGCAGGACCGAAUAGAGUGAAAAAUAAAAAGGCAGGACAGAGAUUACAACUAAAAAAAAAUGCAGGACAAAAAUUUUCAUCCUAGCCCCCCCAUAAAAAUCAAAUGGUAGCUCCCUAAUUUG
This 304-nucleotide long non-coding RNA is filed under the name Mytilus galloprovincialis (Mediterranean mussel). Lineage: Eukaryota; Metazoa; Mollusca; Bivalvia; Mytilida; Mytilidae. The record is from RNAcentral.